AAAUUUUAAAGAAUCUUUUUCGAAAACCUUUGGUCCAUCGGUUCUUCAUGCGGUCUAUAAGAGGUUUUGGCGCCCUUUUAGAGUGGCGCCCGCGUGAGGUGCACGCGUUGCACGCGCCUUUGCGGGGGCCCUGCUUCAGGUAAAUACUACUGUCUUCAAAUGGAUGGGUGCAGUCAAUGGUGAAGGAUAGGGGAGAGCGGGGCUGGAAGUUCACGGGGUCAGGUGUUCCGAUGGAAAUAACUUUGUAACGAAAAACAUAGCAAGAUAUGCAAAAUAUGCUCCUAAAGCACCAAGUGGAGCGCCAAUUUGGCAGUAGUUUUUAUUACUCUGGUGACGGUGAUUGAGUGGCUGUGUGCACGUGCUCUCGAAACGUCACGAUGCGAAACUACAAGACAGAGAGAGGUAAGACCUCCUAGACCUAGACAAUUGUUAAGUCAAGCUUCCCCUGGUGUUACUAACGACGAAAAAUCUGUUAAAACUGUGGCAAGAGAAAUUGAAUUUUCCUCAUGACCUUACAUUGACUUCUAGAAAACGACGUUUACGACACACGACUAUUUUAACAGACAUGCCAGAAAAUAAUGGAUUGGCUAAAGAACAGGCAGAGAAAAAGACAAACUGAUGAAGGCAUUACAAGGAGUGGAACAAAAAAAAUCAAAGAUACAAGAAAAGUAAAUGGUAAAAACAAGGAGGAAAGUGCAAAAAAAUAUCAGGAUUAGGAAAGAGCAAAACGCAAGAUACCGAGAAUGAAGCGGUAAGCGGUAAGAAUCUGGAAUGGUACCUACUGCCUAAUUUGUUAUGAUUCAAAUUAAAAUUCUCGACCAAGAAAACAAUGGUUUGUGGAUAGAAUGUACUAUGUGUAAAAAAUGGGCACCUACCAAAUAUUUAGAUGGAAAUGAUAUAGUCACUCUUAUGUGUAUAUCUUGAUUAUUGUGAGUCAGAUGAAGAGAAGAUUGAUGAAUAAGAUUGCUGAUGAAUAAAAAUGGAGAUUGUCAAAGUUAGUCACAAUUGAUCAAAAACCUGAAUAAAAAGUUUAUAUGGAAGUAA
Molecule: long non-coding RNA, 1044 nt
Organism: Harmonia axyridis
Lineage: Eukaryota; Metazoa; Arthropoda; Insecta; Coleoptera; Coccinellidae
Exons: 2
Source: RefSeq, a predicted model, not a curated record